GCCAGCAGUCAUAUCACUCUGUAUCUCACAACCGGCAACCCACUGACGCUAAGCAGGUGUGAGCCUGGUCAGUACCUGGAAGGGAGACCUCCUGGGAAAAACUAAGGUUGCUGCUGGAA
This 119-nucleotide ribosomal RNA is filed under the name Lepisosteus oculatus (spotted gar). The record is from RNAcentral. Lineage: Eukaryota; Metazoa; Chordata; Actinopteri; Semionotiformes; Lepisosteidae.